This 468-nucleotide ribosomal RNA is filed under the name uncultured bacterium. RNAcentral's name for it is "partial 16S ribosomal RNA". It matches the Rfam family "Bacterial small subunit ribosomal RNA", at positions 28 to 507 of the family's 1533-position model. The record is from RNAcentral.
GACGAACGCUGGCGGCGUGCUUAACACAUGCAAGUCGAACGGAAAGGCCCUGCUUUUGUGGGGUGCUCGAGUGGCGAACGGGUGAGUAACACGUGAGUAACCUGCCCUUGACUUUGGGAUAACUUCAGGAAACUGGGGCUAAUACCGGAUAGGAGCUCCUGCUGCAUGGUGGGGGUUGGAAAGUUUCGGCGGUUGGGGAUGGACUCGCGGCUUAUCAGCUUGUUGGUGGGGUAGUGGCUUACCAAGGCUUUGACGGGUAGCCGGCCUGAGAGGGUGACCGGCCACAUUGGGACUGAGAUACGGCCCAGACUCCUACGGGAGGCAGCAGUAGGGAAUAUUGCACAAUGGGCGGAAGCCUGAUGCAGCAACGCCGCGUGCGGGAUGACGGCCUUCGGGUUGUAAACCGCUUUCGCCUGUGACGAAGCGUGGGUGACGGUAAUGGGUAAAGAAGCACCGGCUAACUACGUG